Molecule: ribosomal RNA, 497 nt
Filed under: uncultured bacterium
Lineage: Bacteria
Description: partial 16S ribosomal RNA
Rfam family: Bacterial small subunit ribosomal RNA
Source: RNAcentral
GAUGAACGCUGGCGGCGUGCCUAAUACAUGCAAGUCGAGCGAACAGACGAGGAGCUUGCUCCUUCGACGUUAGCGGCGGACGGGUGAGUAACACGUAGGUAACCUACCUAUAAGACUGGGAUAACUUCGGGAAACCGGAGCUAAUACCGGAUAAUAUUUCGAACCGCAUGGUUCGAUAGUGAAAGAUGGCUUUGCUAUCACUUAUAGAUGGAUCUGCGCCGUAUUAGCUAGUUGGUAAGGUAACGGCUUACCAAGGCAACGAUACGUAGCCGACCUGAGAGGGUGAUCGGCCACACUGGAACUGAGACACGGUCCAGACUCCUAUGGGAGGCAGCAGUAGGGAAUCUUCCGCAAUGGGCGAAAGCCUGACGGAGUAACGCCGCGUGAGUGAUGAAGGUCUUCGGAUCGUAAAACUCUGUUAUUAGGGAAGAACAAACGUGUAAGUAACUGUGCACGUCUUGACGGUACCUAAUCAGAAAGCCACGGCUAACUACGUG